AACGAACGCUGGCGGCGUGCCUAACACAUGCAAGUCGAACGAGAAAGGGGCUUCGGCUCCGAGUAAAGUGGCGCACGGGUGAGUAACACGUGGGUAACCUGCCUCUAAGAUUGGGAUAACUCGUCGAAAGAUGAGCUAAUACCGAAUAAGACCACAGUUCCCGCGGGAACAGGGGUCAAAGGUAGCCUCUGCCUGCAAGCUAUCACUUAGAGAUGGGCCUGCGCACCAUUAGCUAGUUGGUAGGGUAACGGCCUACCAAGGCAAAGAUGGUUAGCUGGUCUGAGAGGAUGAUCAGCCACACUGGAACUGAGACACGGUCCAGACUCCUACGGGAGGCAGCAGUGGGGAAUAUUGCGCAAUGGGCGAAAGCUUGACGCAGCAACGCCGCGUGAGUGAUGAAGGCCUUCGGGUCGUAAAGCUCUGUCGGGAGGAACGAAUGCUCCUGAGGUUAACAGCCUCGGGAGGUGACGGUACCUUCAAAGGAAGCACCGGCUAACUCUGUG
This 503-nucleotide ribosomal RNA is filed under the name uncultured bacterium. RNAcentral's name for it is "partial 16S ribosomal RNA". It matches the Rfam family "Bacterial small subunit ribosomal RNA", at positions 29 to 507 of the family's 1533-position model. The record is from RNAcentral.